RNAcentral lists this transfer RNA (77 nucleotides) under Helianthus annuus (common sunflower). RNAcentral describes it as "tRNA-Asp". It matches the Rfam family "tRNA". From Rfam's summary of the family: Transfer RNA (tRNA) molecules are approximately 80 nucleotides in length. Their secondary structure includes four short double-helical elements and three loops (D, anti-codon, and T loops). Further hydrogen bonds mediate the characteristic L-shaped molecular structure. tRNAs have two regions of fundamental functional importance: the anti-codon, which is responsible for specific mRNA codon recognition, and the 3' end, to which the tRNAs corresponding amino acid is attached (by aminoacyl-tRNA synthetases). tRNAs cope with the degeneracy of the genetic code in two manners: having more than one tRNA (with a specific anti-codon) for a particular amino acid; and 'wobble' base-pairing, i.e. permitting non-standard base-pairing at the 3rd anti-codon position. The record is from RNAcentral. Lineage: Eukaryota; Viridiplantae; Streptophyta; Magnoliopsida; Asterales; Asteraceae.
GCAAGUCGUUGUAGUAUAGUGUUAAGUAUUCCCGCCUGUCACGCGGGUGACCCGGGUUCGAUCCCGGCAACGGCGUC